RNAcentral lists this ribosomal RNA (400 nucleotides) under uncultured bacterium. RNAcentral describes it as "bacterial SSU rRNA". It matches the Rfam family "Bacterial small subunit ribosomal RNA", at positions 355 to 752 of the family's 1533-position model. The record is from RNAcentral.
UGAGGAAUAUUGGGCAAUGCCCGGAAGGGUGACCCAGCAACGCCGCGUGAAGGAUGAAGGUCGUAAGAUUGUAAACUUCUUUUGAUGGGGACGAAAAAGCGGAGUAACACUCUGCAUUGACUGUACCCAUAGAAAAAGCCCCGGCUAACUACGUGCCAGCAGCCGCGGUAAUACGUAGGGGGCAAGCGUUGUCCGGAUUUACUGGGUGUAAAGGGCGCGUAGGCGGAUCUAUAAGUCGGUGGUGAAAUCCUGCAGCUUAACUGCAGAACUGCCGUCGAUACUGUGGAUCUUGAGUUCGGAAGAGAGUAGCGGAAUUCCAGGUGUAGUAGUGAAAUACGUAGAUAUCUGGAAGAACACCAGUGGCGAAGGCGGCUACUUGGUCCGUAUCUGACGCUGAGGC